GGGGGGAUGGGUCUGCUAGGGGUGGACACCUCGCUUGCACCGAGGACAUCAGAACGAUUCGAAUUCGUUAUCCUCCACCA
RNAcentral lists this transfer RNA (80 nucleotides) under Salmonella phage 5. RNAcentral describes it as "transfer RNA-Ala (UGC)". Lineage: Duplodnaviria; Heunggongvirae; Uroviricota; Caudoviricetes; Demerecviridae. The record is from RNAcentral.